Panonychus citri (citrus red mite) is the source of this 129-nucleotide small nucleolar RNA. The record is from RefSeq and is a predicted model, not a curated record. Lineage: Eukaryota; Metazoa; Arthropoda; Arachnida; Trombidiformes; Tetranychidae.
AUUCAAUGAUGAGUAGUGCCAUGCUAAUACCAAGUUCCCAUCUCUUAAUUGUUGCAAUUUAUUUCAAUGGUUGGAGUGAAAACGGGGACAAUGAGUUGAAAUCUCUUCUCAAUCCGAUCUCUGAGACUU